UGUUGUAUCCACAACGUGCACAACCUGAGAACCAUGUUUGGAAUUUCUCAACAUAUAAAUGACAAAUUACUUGGGUGCUUGAAUUCACUGUUGUGAAGAAAUGUCCAACACAUAACAAAGUGAUCAAAACAUCACCCCCUCCCAAAAAAAGAAAAAAAAGAAGCAUGAAGAUUUUGCAAGCCAAAGGAUUUACAGGCCUAAAUAAUUUUCCUUGUUUUUUCAUACAAUCAGAUGCGUGCAACCCAAUCUCAUGUAUUACAAAUCAGUGCUCUAACUCGAGUUCUUCCCAGGCAGAGCAGUGGCUAGUUCACAUGAGAUAAUGAAUUCAGUACAGCAUAACAUUUUGAAGUACAAUUAAAUGACCACAUACUUCCUCAAACAAACAUAAUCCAUAUGCCUUGGAUGCAGUACCAGGCAACUCACCCAUGAUGAAUUUAUGGACUCAAUUAAUAUUUCCUUAAUUUGGUAUCACUGAGGAUGUAAAUAAGAAUCCACAAGUUUUAUAUUCAACCCUACAUGUCACAAAGGCACAAACUAUCUUAUGUUCACUAACCCUAUAUGUAGCAAAGGCACAAACUAUCUUAUGAUCACUAACUGUUUGGAGGAAGAUUUUGGAUCCAUGACCCAUGCCACACAAAACUUAUCCAACAAACACACCAACUUGAAUCUAGUAUAUAGUUCAGCUGGUAAAUCAUGGAUUAAAUAGCAGAGUCAAUAAAAAUGGGAAAACUUACAGUUACUAAUCAUAAUUUACCAACACUUGGAAUCAUUCACAAAGAAAAAAUUUGAAUGAAUAUAAAGCCAAGGAAAACACAACUAUAGUUAAUAUGCAAAUGGAAACUUACAUUGACA
Molecule: unclassified non-coding RNA, 852 nt
Filed under: Hevea brasiliensis (rubber tree)
Lineage: Eukaryota; Viridiplantae; Streptophyta; Magnoliopsida; Malpighiales; Euphorbiaceae
Source: RNAcentral